Molecule: ribosomal RNA, 255 nt
Filed under: uncultured bacterium
Lineage: Bacteria
Description: partial 16S ribosomal RNA
Rfam family: Bacterial small subunit ribosomal RNA
Source: RNAcentral
UACGAAGGGGGCUAGCGUUGCUCGGAAUCACUGGGCGUAAAGGGUGCGUAGGCGGGUCUUUAAGUCAGGGGUGAAAUCCUGGAGCUCAACUCCAGAACUGCCUUUGAUACUGAGGAUCUUGAGUUCGGGAGAGGUGAGUGGAACUGCGAGUGUAGAGGUGAAAAUUCGUAGAUAUUCGCAAGAACACCAGUGGCGAAGGCGGCUCACUGGCCCGAUACUGACGCUGAGGCACGAAAGCGUGGGGAGCAAACAGGG